RNA transcript from Pseudopipra pipra, 4690 nucleotides. It is a transcript of the gene named phosphatidylinositol-4-phosphate 5-kinase type 1 gamma, with no coding region annotated. NCBI's taxonomy places the organism in Eukaryota, Metazoa, Chordata, Aves, Passeriformes, Pipridae. The transcript is spliced from 21 exons. The record is from RefSeq and is a predicted model, not a curated record.
CACGCCUCCGCUGUCAUGGCGACCAGUGAGUCCCGCCCCCACCACCCCGCCCCCGCUGCCACAGCAACCUGCCGGCCCCGCCUCCGCUGCCAUGGUGACCGCAGGCCCCGCCCCCGUUACCAUGGCGAUUUCGACCCCCCCACCCCCGCUGCCAUAGUGACCGCAGGCCCCCCCGCCUGCCGGAGGGGCCGCGGCCGCUCCCGCCGCUCCCUCCCGGUGCGGCGGCCCCGGCCCCGGCCCCGGCCCCCUCCGCCCGUCCGCCCGGCCGGGCCCCACAGCCCGCCGGUGACCGCGACAGCCCAUCGCUGCAUCGCAAUUAAAGCCGGCGGAAGGGCCAUGUGGUGCUUCCGGUGGUGGCGGGGCGUGUCCAGCCGCGGCGCCUCCCGCGCUCCAUGGUCCGCGCCGCUCCCAGGGUCCCUCGCGCCGCGGCCGGUAGCCGGGAGGAGCGCGGAGGCGGGCACGGGCCUGUCCGGGGCCUGUCCUGCCCCGGGCCUGGGCCUGCCCGCGGCCGCCAUGGAGCUGGAGCUGCCCGAGGAGGUGGAGGGCUCGGCCGCGGCGGGUGCCGGUGCCAUCACCCCGGAGGCCGGCGUGGGGGGACCGGACGCGUCAGGAGGUCUGGCCCCAAAGAAGACAGCCAUAACUGAGGGACCGUCAGUGCCAGGACAGCCUGGCCAAGGAAAGAAGAUUGGCCACCGAAGCGUGGAUGCUUCUGGGGAAACCACCUACAAAAAGCACCCCUGGACAGCAGAAUCAUGCAAACGGCAAACCUGGAGCCCUCUCUUCAGCAGCUGGAUGAACUUGACCACGUCAUCCACUCUGAAGGGGGCCAUCCAGCUGGGGAUUGGAUAUACUGUGGGCAAUCUGAGCUCCAAGCCAGAGAGAGAUGUCCUGAUGCAGGACUUCUAUGUGGUGGAGAGCAUUUUUUUCCCAAGCGAGGGCAGUAACCUCACCCCAGCUCACCACUACGCCGACUUCAGGUUCAAGACCUACGCCCCAGUGGCUUUCCGGUACUUCCGAGAGCUCUUUGGGAUUCGUCCGGAUGAUUAUUUGUACUCGUUGUGUAACGAGCCUCUGAUCGAGCUGUCCAACCCCGGGGCCAGCGGCUCCCUCUUCUACGUCACCAGCGACGAUGAAUUCAUCAUAAAAACUGUGAUGCACAAGGAAGCUGAAUUCCUACAGAAGCUCCUUCCUGGCUACUACAUGAAUCUGAACCAGAACCCCCGGACUCUGCUGCCCAAGUUUUACGGACUGUACUGUGUUCAGUCCGGGGGCAAAAACAUCCGCGUGGUCGUGAUGAACAACAUCCUGCCUCGGGUGGUGAAAAUGCACCUGAAAUUCGACCUCAAAGGCUCCACCUACAAACGCCGGGCAUCCAAGAAGGAAAAAGAAAAGUCCAGCCCUACGUACAAGGAUCUGGACUUCAUCCAAGACAUGCCCGAGGGCCUGAUGUUGGAUGCAGACACCUUCAGUGCUUUGGUGAAGACGUUGCAGCGAGACUGUCUGGUAUUGGAAAGUUUUAAAAUCAUGGACUACAGCCUCCUGCUUGGGGUUCAUAACAUAGACCAGCAGGAGCGGGAGCAGCUGGCCGAGGGAGCCCACAGCACGUCGGACGAGAAGCGGCCCGUGGGGCAGAAGGCCCUGUACUCCACAGCCAUGGAGUCCAUCCAGGGAGGGGCUGCCCGGGGGGAGGCCAUAGACACCGACGACACGAUGGGAGGGAUCCCAGCAGUGAACGGCAAAGGAGAGCGUCUCCUGCUGCACGUAGGAAUCAUAGAUAUCCUGCAGUCAUACAGGUUCAUCAAGAAACUAGAACACACCUGGAAGGCCCUUGUCCAUGAUGGGGACACGGUGUCAGUACACAGACCCAGCUUUUAUGCAGAGAGAUUCUUCAAAUUCAUGACCAACACGGUGUUCCGAAAGAAUUCCUCUCUGAAGUCCUCCCCCUCGAAGAAAGGGCGCAGUGCCUUGCUGGCUGUGAGGGCGGCCGGUCCCACCGCGGCGUUCUCGGCCAGCCAGCUCACCUCCGAGCAGGACGACACUCAGUACGACCUGAGGGCAGCCAGGAGCUACCCCACGCUGGAUGAUGAAGGUGCUACACCUGACCAGGACAGGGGAGAAAGUAAGAGUGCAGCAGGCAGGCCAGACCUGCUGCCCUGCACUCCUCCUUCCUUCGAAGAAGCUACCACAGCCUCCAUAGCCACGACACUGUCGUCCACAUCCCUCUCUGUUCCCGAGCGAUCCCCUUCGGAGACCUCUGAGCAGCCCCGGUACAGGAGGCGCACACACUCCUCAGGGCAGGAUGGCAGAUCCCUGAGUGGUUUGCAAAUACCACCAUUAUUUGAUGGGAAGGGGAAACAACAGAGUUGUCCAGAUUCACCCACCCAGCCAGCACCAGAGUCAAGAAAGGUCUUUUAUGUCCCCUGUCACACGAGGAGGUGCGGGUCGAGGAGGAGCAGCAGAUCAGUGUGGAGCUGGAGCCCAAGUGUGACGUUGAGAUCGUGGCUCCUGAAGAAGAAGACAAAGAAGAGGCAGCUUCUUCAGCCUGUGCCAUUGUCGCAUCCACAGCCACCAUAGAGGUGGAGACGGCCAGCCAGGCCUCGGAGCCAGCCAGCCAGGCCUCGGAUGAAGAUGACGUGCCAGUCACAGACAUAUACUUUCCGACAGACGAGAGGAGUUGGGUUUACUCCCCGCUCCACUAUAGCGCUCAGCUCCACUCUGUCUCCGAUGAGGAGAGCGAUACAUAAUCUCUAUGCAGACACAGAAGUCCCAGAGAGCAGCGAUUCCCUCUGCAGGUCGAUGUGUUCCCUUUUCGUUGAUGCAGCCGUUCCAGUGGGAUGGGGAAGAGCUUGCUGGCACCAGUAUUGCUGCACUGCAGGACCCCGGGCACUGCGUUUCAGGACGGAGCAAAACUAUAACCGUGUAUUUCUACUCACCCCAGACGUGGGCAGCAAAGAAACCACCCGCUCACCCGCAGCUCCCGGCAGAGAAUUCCAGCUGGGUGUAGAGAAUCCUGGGUAGUAACACAGUGUUUUCCAGACGUGCACUACCGUAGCUACCUAUCCAUGUGUGAUACUGUGAACCUUUUUAAUUUUUUAAUCAUGUAUUUAUUUCUUUUAUCUUUGCACAGAGACAGCACAAAUGUGCUUUUUUAAACAUUUAGUUUACUGCACUUUUUUUUUUUUCUCUCCAUAUAUUUGUGCAUCAGAAAGGAGCGCGAGACCUCACCGGAGAAGGGGUAGGAGCACGUUGCUGGGGAGGGCAGGGACAGGAGUGGCUUCAUUUGAGGCAGCAGCGUGGUCUGACCAACUGAGGGAGUCAGGAGGUUUAAGGCUGUCCAGACUCUGCCACGGUUUUGCUGAGUGACCCAAGGCGAGUCACUUAAACCACUCUGUGCCUCGGUUUCCCCUGUGCUGAUGGGUGUACAGUACCCACGUCGUUACAGCACUUAAACCCUGGGAUGAAAGGUGCUAUGAAAAUGCAAUGUAUUAAAGGCCAUGGAAUAGGAUUACUCCCACGUUACCACAGUCCAAAGUAGCCAUGCCAACUCACUUGGAUCCAAACUCUCUAGUGACUUCUUCCGUCUGUGACACUGUGCGGGGGCAGCGCACGGUCCUGUCGACAGUGACGUGGACUCAGCUCUCCCUGGAUGUCGUGGUGGGCUCUGCCUUCCCCCUGUGCUGCACUGCUGCAUCACCCCUCCCUCUGUGCUUGGAGUCCACGCUUCAUCCGACCGGCUCUGCCUGCUCCGGACCCGCGGGCACGGACAGACGGGAACUGGGCACCUCCCGGGCCUGGCCAUGCUGGAGAGUGAGUUCCCUGCCCUGCCAGGCCCACGUGGGGCUCGUCUGGACCCUGAUCCUCCUGGAGCCACUCAGCCCCCCACAUGCUCGUGCGUGUAUCCCGGGGUCACCCGUCCCCUCCGCCCCUCGGGGCAGGCAGGGAGCGCGGGCACAUCCACACGCUGGAGGCAGAAGCGGGAGCCUGGCUCUGCCACGGAACUGUGCCAGCGCUGCUGUGGUCAUGGACUCUGUUGGACAGAAAGCUGUGUGACUGGGGUGUUGCCUGGGGUCACAUCUGCUGGUGGAAAUCACUGCUGCGGGUGUCUGAGAGGGCUUGCUUUGCGGGGGCUGUGGGUGAGAGGGUUUGGUGUCACGGGGUGGUGUUCAGCAGGACACACUCCACAGCGUUGUCUGGAAUCCAGCAAUCCCAUCCUCAUCUCCCAGAGAGAAGACAGGAAGUCCUUUAGGCCAGAGGGAGCCAGGUCUUGUUCAUGUGCUUUAUGAACCUCGCUUGAGAAAGAGGGUCAAAAUCUCUUUAUUCUCAUUACAAUCUUCACUGUCCUUGGGAUUCCUUGUAGAGGGGUGGGGAAUUGGGACCCUGCUCUCGGUCCCCCGAUCUGUGUUCACAGCAGCACUCGGGAGGGGUUAAGUGGGUCCCAGGAGGUAGCUGGGCUGGUGGGAAGCUCUUCCCUCUGCACUGUGCUGGACUUGGUGAGGAUCUUCAGGAACUGAUGUUUUCUUGCCUGGAAUACGGGACCUGGACUUCCCUGCCCUGCCUGCGGAUGCGGAAGGCUGUGGGUUGUGCUUCUCGGGAGCACAGCUGGGGGAUCGUGCAAGCUGCUGCUGUUCCAUGUAUCCAUGUAUUUACCAAAUAGUCUAUCAAAAGUCUCUCAAGAAACUUUCCCCUUUCA